This 88-nucleotide transfer RNA is filed under the name Nitrososphaerota archaeon. RNAcentral describes it as "Thaumarchaeota archaeon tRNA-Ala". The stretch from base 14 to 88 matches the Rfam family "tRNA". Rfam says of the family: Transfer RNA (tRNA) molecules are approximately 80 nucleotides in length. The record is from RNAcentral. Lineage: Archaea; Thermoproteati; Nitrososphaerota.
GGGCCGGUCGUCUAGUCUGGUAGGAUAGAGGGCGUCGUCCAAUCCCUUGGCAUGGGACAGGUCGGGGGUUCAAAUCCCCCCCGGUCCA